Mus musculus (house mouse) is the source of this 801-nucleotide long non-coding RNA. RefSeq annotates it as predicted gene, 34858. Lineage: Eukaryota; Metazoa; Chordata; Mammalia; Rodentia; Muridae. The record is from RefSeq and is a predicted model, not a curated record. The transcript has 4 exons.
UGGGGGAGUUGGGAUGCUGACCAGAAGCUUCGGGGGCCCUGAGUUCUCAGUCCAGAUUUUCUCAGCCCACCUGUGGCCCUUCAGACAGGACUUCCUAGGCCAAAAAUUUGUUGAUCUAUUUGAUCUAAUGAUCUAUUUGUUUCCAAAACACAUGACCAUGUGAGGUAUUAUGGAGACCUGGGACAAAUAAAGAGUAUUUAUGGCCUCAUCAGCACACAGGAGGAGUGAGCAUGCUGGCCAGGCACCAGCGCUAGCCCGUCAGGGUCCUGGAGACAUCCACCCUUGCUUUUCACUAUGUGCACUGUUCCUGGUUAAUUUCCUAUUAGUUCACCUUGGAAUAUCAUGUGAUUCUUUCCCUCGUGGGCUGCCCCUGCCUUCCGCAUGUGUCAUCAGCACCGUGGAGAGCUGGACUAGAGAAGAGUCAUCCUUGAUGUAUAAGAAGUCCUAGCUAAGAAAGCCUAUGAGGGGGCAGGAGAGGAAAGACAGACAGACAGACAGGGUCUGCUGCCAUUCAGGCUAAAUGGCAAGGCCGGAGGCACGAACUCACUCACGAGACAGCAAAGGAUCUGAGACAAGCUUUCCAGAGGACACCGCCAGCCACUCCCCAGAAGACAAGGGCUGCUUCUUGGCUCAUCAAGAGGAAUGCAGUGGACAGAGUGGACUUUUGACACAGCGGAAAAGAUCCGUCAGAGGCUGUAGACCAAGUCCUAGCUCCAGAAUGGAGCUACAGCUGUGAUCUUAGGCGAGCCACUAUUUCCCCCCUAAAGCGAGCUAAUAAUAAAGCAGUGUUUUGUGUCUUUU